This 613-nucleotide ribosomal RNA is filed under the name uncultured bacterium. RNAcentral's name for it is "bacterial SSU rRNA". It matches the Rfam family "Bacterial small subunit ribosomal RNA", at positions 9 to 663 of the family's 1533-position model. The record is from RNAcentral.
GAGUUUGAUCCUGGCUCAGAACGAACGCUGGCGGCAGGCCUAACACAUGCAAGUCGAACGAAGUCUUCGGACUUAGUGGCAGACGGGUGAGUAACGCGUGGGAACCUACCUGGAGGUUCGGAAUAACUCGGGGAAACUCGGGCUAAUACCGGAUACGCCCUUACGGGGAAAGAUUUAUCGCCUUUAGAUGGGCCCGCGUUGGAUUAGCUUGUUGGUGAGGUAAAAGCUCACCAAGGCGACGAUCCAUAGCUGGUCUGAGAGGAUGAUCAGCCACACUGGGACUGAGACACGGCCCAGACUCCUACGGGAGGCAGCAGUGAGGAAUAUUCGGCAAUGGGCGCAAGCCUGACCGAGCCAUGCCGCGUGAGUGAAGAAGGCCCUAGGGUUGUAAAGCUCUUUCACCGAUGAAGAUAAUGACGGUAGUCGGAGAAGAAGCCCCGGCUAACUUCGUGCCAGCAGCCGCGGUAAUACGAAGGGGGCUAGCGUUGUCCGGAAUUACUGGGCGUAAAGCGCAAGUAGGCGGAUUGUUUAGGUCAGGGGUGAAAUCCCCGGGGCUCAACCCCGGAACUUGCCUCUGAUACUGGGCAAUCUCGAGUUCGAAGAGAGGUGAGUG